This 253-nucleotide ribosomal RNA is filed under the name uncultured bacterium. RNAcentral's name for it is "partial 16S ribosomal RNA". It matches the Rfam family "Bacterial small subunit ribosomal RNA", at positions 524 to 776 of the family's 1533-position model. The record is from RNAcentral.
UACGUAGGGGGCAAGCGUUGUCCGGAUUUACUGGGCGUAAAGAGCGCGCAGGCGGUCGUUCAAGUCGCGUGUGAAAGCCCCCGGCUCAACCGGGGAGGGUGGUGCCGAACUGCGCUUCUUGAGGGCGAUAGAGGAGAGUGGAAUUCCGGGUGUAGCGGUGAAAUGCGUAGAGAUCCGGAGGAACACCAGUGGCGCAGGCGGCUCUCUGGGUCGGCCCUGACGCUGAGGCGCGAAAGCGUGGGGAGCGAACGGG